AGGCGACCUGAUAUAGGCAUGAGUCGCUCCGGCAGGAAGAGAUCUCAAGUUCGCUGCAGUGGCUAUCAGAGCAGGAAACGGGAGUAUACGAAGAGGAGACGGAGGGCUCGAAGACAGGAUCUGACUGCUCGUAGCAAUCGGUGCAGGGCUUGCACUGCACCCAGGUGACGUCGCUGCCGGUGUCGAGCACCAUGUACUGUGGCCGCGCCGGGCUGCCGAUGCCGACACGAGAGAAGUACUCGCCGCUGCCCUGGCUAGUGCCGGAGACGAUGGGGCCCUGGAUCCCGUCACCGCCGGGGGCCGAGGCCAAGGAGAUGGAGUUCUGGUUAACCAUGGGCUUCAGAUCUGAAUGCUUGACUCCGUGCACGGCGAGGGCGAGCCUGGUGGUGAUAGACUGGACCCUGACCGAGUCGCGGCUAAGCCGAGCGAGGGUCAGGUCCCCAUAAUUUUUAUGGGCGGAUGUUGUGGGGAGAAAGUCUCUAGAAUGAAGCUGGAGAGAGAUGUGACCAUUACUACCUGCAACAGCGGAUUCUUCAAUAUUGGUGUAGUUCGUCGUCAGGGGAUCGAAGGAGGCAGCGCGGGAGGCGGCGGCGAGGGAGUUGAAGACAUGGAUCUUGGCGGUGGUCUUGGUUUGAGAGAUGUCUCGGGCGAGAACAAGGGAGGCGGAGGAGAAGAGGGAGUUGA
This 684-nucleotide unclassified non-coding RNA is filed under the name Hevea brasiliensis (rubber tree). Lineage: Eukaryota; Viridiplantae; Streptophyta; Magnoliopsida; Malpighiales; Euphorbiaceae. The record is from RNAcentral.